UGCUAUUUGAAAUAGAACAUCCACAGGGAGAUAAUGGGCUGAAAUUACAAUUGACUUUGGAAAGAAUAACAGAUUUUGUGCUUCCUCAAUCAUAUAAUCAAUAGGGAAUUCUCUAGUUAUGUGAACUACCACUAUCUUUUAAGACAAUGCUGAGAUCUAAAUGCAAAAUCUGUCAUUCAGGAGCCUUUUAAGAAUUCAAGGCUGUCUCUGAGGAACUUAGCUAGAGAUGGAUUACACUAAUUUACAAAUGCAGUUUUCAACCGUGACAAAUCAAAGUGAUCUGAUCUCAGUUCAUUUUACUAAGCUGUGCCCAUAGGACUCUGAGAUAUUGAGCUAUUUUGUCUACAUUAUUUUUUAACAUCUACAGGUAUUUGUGGAUGUGUCAAUAAUGUCUGAAUUUCUCAUCUUUUGGCUUUAUCUUGAACACAGCUUUUUAGUAAGACCAGCUUUCAGAGCAUCAUGAAGUAGAAAUCAAUGCUCCAGAGAUUCAGGGAGACCAACAUAAGGGAAAAUCUCCCAAAACAUGGAGGUAGUCUUGCCCAUCUCAUCCCUCUCUAGAAUAUAAAAUGUCUGAGAAAGGGCUGUGACUGCCUUGUGGACUGCUGUCUCCUAGCAUCUGGAAAAAUGCCCAGCACAAUAGAGGCACUCAGUUAAUAUUUAUUGAAUGAAUAAACAAUUACAUAAAUGAAUGAAAUUAAAUAAAUGAGUUUUACCUUCUGAUAAUUUGAAAAAAAAAUCACCAAUUCAUUUUAUACUGAUGGGCAUUAUAAUUUCUGAAUUACAUAAUUAGAACCAGAAUUGACUCUUCAUACUUUUUAGAUAUAUGAAUUUGAAAUCAGUUACUUCCAAGGGUUCAAGGGUUUGAGAACACUUAGAUAGGCAUGUUUGCAUAUUCAGAGUGUUUACAAUGAAUAAAACUCAGCCUUUCUUGUUAUUUUUGAAAGCUCCCUGAGUUAUGAUCCAUACAUGGAACCCCAUUUAUAAACUUUGUAAAAUAUAAUAUUUUAAUUUUUAAAAAAGAAAAUUUAAAUUAUCAAGCGUAUUAUUAAUAAUAUGUCCUUCAAUGUUCAUUAACAACUUUUCUCUAAGGCAAUUCAUUGUGAUUAGAGACACCAUCUCUAAAUCUCCUGCUUUCAAAAAAAUCACUUUUCCUUUCUCAUUUGAUCUUUAGAAUAUAUCUGAGCUAAAGAUUAAUCAUAUAGCAAUUAAGACUUUUCCAUGUGUUUAUUCAUCUAACAAACAUUUAUUGUGUGCCUACUAUAUGCUAGGUUUUGGAUGUAAAAUGGCAAACAAGACAAAUCUAGCCACCCCUUGGAGUUUGCUGUGAGGAACUCAACACUUGCUCUAGCAGUUAACUAGAGUUUACCAUCUCAUGGUUCCUUCUUCACAGCUGAUAGGAGAAAUGAAAUCCCUUAUGCCAUGGAAAUCAUAAAAGGCUCUCUGCACAUAUUUAUGUAAGCUUGUUUUUCUAAAAUACCACACAAAUAUGCUGCUCAAGGAAUCCAAAACCAUAGUUAGAUGCCACUGAGGUAGGUACUAAUUUACUCAUAACUGACACAUAGCUCUUACUAAGUUCUGUGCUCAGGACACUCAUAGACUCUAUCACUGAAUCCCUUCAACAACUCUCUUUAGUAGGUUCUAUUUUAUCGACAAGAAAACUGAAGCACAGGUUUGUGACCUGUCCAAGGUCACACAGCAGAUGGAACUGGGAUUUGAACCCACACAGUGUAACACGAGAGCUCAUAUGUCUUCGCAUUUUCUGUGGCUUGGGGGAUACCAUUACAUUAAAAUAAAUGUGUCACUGUAUAUAAAAAGUACUUUGAAAUUGUAGUAUACAAAGAGAUUAGUGAAGUGUGAUCAGCAAACCACAGCAGUGGCAGAAACAGAGUGGGAACUCAAUCUUAUGUUGCAGCUUACUCUCAUGAAGAAUAUAUCAAGCCAGGGAAAUGGAUAAACAUACAGAUUCAGACAGUUUCUGACAUGCGAUAAAUAUUGCAAUGACUUUUCAGAAUUAUUUGUUGUUAGCCACUGUGUCUAUUUGGUGCUACAAAAAAACCUGAAAGAAACAAAAUCCCUUGCUAUAAGGGCUUAUCAUAAUUACACAGUGUGGAGAUGAGUCAAGGAUGUUUCAGAUUUAUGGGGAAAGAUUGGGCGAUAGUAAUACUAUUUUCUCACCAUUGCAUGUGAUUGUGUCUUUCUAAUUGUUUUCAUUAUUUUUCUGAAAGAGCUGCAAAAUUGUGCAGUGGUUCAACCUGAC
This is a long non-coding RNA of Bos taurus (domestic cattle), 2257 nucleotides long. Lineage: Eukaryota; Metazoa; Chordata; Mammalia; Artiodactyla; Bovidae. The record is from Ensembl.